Molecule: long non-coding RNA, 2854 nt
Filed under: Homo sapiens (human)
Lineage: Eukaryota; Metazoa; Chordata; Mammalia; Primates; Hominidae
Description: HSALNT0171972
Source: RNAcentral
AGACGGCGCCCAACCUUCCUCUGCAGCGCCCCUACCGACCCGCGCUCCGCAGCUCCUGAGGGCUUUCGAGCCCAGAUGGUCAUCUGAGACGAGAGGUGGCGGCGAAGGAGAGUCUCGCCUGUCACGCUCCCGGAGCAGGGGCUUCAUGAGGUGGCCAUGGAAACAGCCUGGCAGACUCCCAUCUCUCCUGGUGCCAUCUCCGGAGCGGAAAGUGGAGCGCCCCGCUGGCGACCAAGGCCGCACUGAGAGCCCUGGUUUGGUCAACAGUUGGGCUCCAAGGAGCCCUGGUAUUCCUUGAACAUGCAUACCUUUCCCAGCGUGAGGGACAUGGACCGUGCCGUGCGAGGGACCCCAUCUUCUGCAGCAGGAGGGAGCAGAGAAGAGAACACAGGUGGAACAGAGUUGGCAAGACCGGGGGCUGGAGAGACUCACCUGGCGGACGGCGCCUACCACCUCAGCUCGGCUGGAGAGGCGGGCAGCCAGGCGGUGCAGGACAGCGAUGUCCUCCAGCAACUUCUGGCCUUAAUUGAGGCUGUUCUUGCAAAGGAUGUGAUGAGAUAAGUAGAAAUGAACUCAGAGAAGAUGAAUUCAAAAUCCUCGAUGGGAGCAUCCAAGUACUUCCUGGUUUCUGGUUUACAAGGCACUUCAGAGGAUGCUGCACUGUCUGGGUGAGUCAGCUUCCUACUGUGGCUGCUGGUCACAGUCCAGGAACUCAUCUAGGCCUAGGUAAGAUUGCAUCUGGAGCCUGGGGCCAGGUCUGGGGCCCUACAGUAAGGCGGAGAUGGGCUGGUAUGUGUCCUGAGCGGAGGUUAGGAAGGCUCUGAACACUGUCAUGGGAGCAAAGACUGAAGAAACUAGAGAAAAAGAGACUCUGAGAAGACUCAGAACUGCCUUUCUGCAUCUGUAGGAUUUCACCCCACUAUAGGUUGUAUGGAGGGCAGAACCGAGGGAGAGUCUUGGGGGAGGCAGAUUCCAGCCUGACCAGGACAGAGCUGGCCAACCAGUGCACAGGCUUCCUUGGGAGGCGGUGAGCUUUUCAUUAUAGAAAUAUUCCUACAGAUUCCUACCCUGGGCCCGGUGGCUCACGCCUGUAAUCCCAGCACUUUGGGAGGCCGAGGUGGGCAGAUCACUUGAGGCCAGGAGUUUGAGACCAGCCUGGCCAACACGGCGAAACCCCAUAUCUACUAAAAAUACAAAAAUUAGCCAGGCGUGGUGGUGCAGGCCUGUAGUCCCGGCUAUUCGGGAGGCUGAGGCACAAGAAUCAUUUGAACCUGGGAGACAGAGGUUGCAGUGAGCUGAGAUCACACCAAUGCACUCCAGCCUGGGUGACAAAGCAAGACUCUGUCUCAAAAAUACAAAGAUAUAUUCCUACAGAUUCCUAAGACCUACCUCAAGAGAUUCCAAUUCAGUAGGUCUUGGAUGGCUGAGGAAUCUGGUGUUCAAAAAAUUCCCAGGGUGACUGAGUGGGGCUCACGUUAUAGAGAGCUUUGCCUGCCUGGGCGGAGCUUAGAUGUGACCUGGGAUUCUUCUAGCACUGGCAGUCUGUCAUUCUGUGGUCCCCUCAGGUCCCAGGCUUGUGUUCUGACAGCUUCUAUUCCUGCUAGAACCCCUUGGCUACAAACUCUUCCCUUUGAGUCUCUCCCUGUUCAAGGGCCAAUGCAGAAAACCCCACUCAGGACAUAGCCUUACAAAGUGCAUUGUUGGGGGGCUUUUUGUGGUAUUUGAUUGCAGCUUCUGAUUAAGGACCUGAAGAGUACGUCUGUCUGUGCAUGCCUGUGUAUCUGCGUGUGUGUCUGUGUGUGUGUAUGCGUGUGUACGUGCAGAAAGAGAAACAGGAUCUAGUCCUACAGAUUUUGUGUUUGUGUGUGAGAAGGCCUCGGCUAGUGCUCAUGCCAGUGAUGGGAAAUAGGGGCUGGGACCUGAGGAAUCACAACUAGGGCUGGACCCCGGGGAGCUGUAAACUUAGAAGGAUGCUCUGUUCUUUGCCUGCUUCACAGACUGGGAAUUCAGGCAGGAUUGGGACUUCCAGCCGAGUCAUCCUGGCCAACCCCGCUUCCUUGGCUGCCUGGCCUCGGAUGCUCCCAGGGACUCAGGUUCCAGCCCCCUGAAGGCUCCAGGCCAGCUCCUGAGGCCUGACCCUCCCGAGGCCGUGACUACCUGAGAAACCCAAUGUGGGUGGUCUGGUGGGUGCAAUAGUGGGAGAAGCACUUUACUCACCAUGCCUGGUUGCCUUCUGAAAAGCUUUGAAAUGUCCAGGGCGUGGCAGUAAGGGAAGAGGGUAAAAGAAAGUUGAGUUUGAUGUGGCCUUUGGUUGGGGGGGUCUGAACUGCCCCAGCUUCAUGGUCCCUCAGGCUAUAGAAGGCACUUGAGGGCUGGGCUGAACAGGCAGAGUCUAGGAGGCAGCAACUAACCCUUGUACUGGGUAACACAUAAGAAACCAGCAGCACAGCAAAGUUAACAGACUUGGUCUCAAAGUUUCUUGGCCAAGACAAGGUCUCUUGACCAGAAUGUAGAGGAGCUGGGAUUGAAGCCCAGCUUGGUAUGACUGCACAGUUUACAUUCUUAAAUCCUGUGCUAGGUAUCCUCCCUGAUAGGACCUGGGCUUCUCGGCUCCCGGCUCCCCUGAAUUCCUGCUGGCCUUCCUAACCAUCACAGCUUCAAAAUGCAUAUAGGUACAGUGCCAUUAGGUUGGCAUGAUGAAUUUCUAGAGGUUGCCACAAUGGGGGGAGGGUUCCAUGAGCUUGCCUGCCACAAAGUUGAGAGUAAGCGAUCCCUGAUUGGCUAGUGGGAGCUCCAAAUUCCAGUUCCCCACAAGUUCAGUCUCCCUGUGACCCUGAGCCAGAACCAGACUCUU